AAAUCUUAUUUACACAGUUCUCCAGUAAUGACAAGAAGCAUGUUCUUCAUACCCUACUACAAACCAACUGUAAGAAUAGACGCUUCCACACAACACGAAUUUAAACUCAUCGCCCCCGAGAUGAACUGAUCGAAUCCAUGGUUCUGCCGGCACGGGCUAGCCGGAUAAACGGUAAAAGUUGCUAAUAACAGCACCGUCUCAUGCCAAUAUCCAAAUUAACGAAGAAAUUGAGACCAACCAACUCUACCGCGUACACCAGCUCCACCAUCUACCAUGUAUGCUAUCUUCCCUACCGCUUUUCAGCUUCCCAUCAAUUAGACAG
RNAcentral lists this long non-coding RNA (322 nucleotides) under Brassica napus (rape). RNAcentral's name for it is "long non-coding RNA (BNAP_LNC004798)". Lineage: Eukaryota; Viridiplantae; Streptophyta; Magnoliopsida; Brassicales; Brassicaceae. The record is from RNAcentral.